AUGGCUCACCAAGGCUACGAUGGGUAGGGGUUCUUAGUGGAAGGUCCCCCACACUGGCACUGAGAUACGGGCCAGACUCCUACGGGAGGCAGCAGUAGGGAAUAUUGGUCAAUGGGCGCAAGCCUGAACCAGCCAUGCCGAGUGCAGGAUGAAGGCUCUCUGAGUUGUAAACUGCUUUUGUACAGGAGCAAAAAAGCCCCUGCGGGGGCUCUUGAGAGUACUGUAAGAAUAAGCACCGGCUAAUUCCGUGCCAGCAGCCGCGGUAAUACGGAAGGUGCAAGCGUUAUCCGGUUUUAUUGGGUUUAAAGGGUGCGUAGGCGGCUUAUUAAGUCAGUUGUGAAAUCCUAGUGCUUAACGCUAGAACUGCGAUUGAUACUAUUAGGCUUGAGUUAAGAAUAGGUA
Molecule: ribosomal RNA, 402 nt
Filed under: uncultured Candidatus Cardinium sp.
Lineage: Bacteria; Pseudomonadati; Bacteroidota; Cytophagia; Cytophagales; Amoebophilaceae
Description: bacterial SSU rRNA
Rfam family: Bacterial small subunit ribosomal RNA
Source: RNAcentral